GUUCAAAACUCAUUUUAUAAAAACACUUUUUCAGAUAAAAACUCAUCAAAUAAAAAUAAAAAUAAAUAAAUAAAUAAAAUGACAGCAGGGUUUCAAUAAAAAACAAAAAGUUAAAGGGGGG
RNAcentral lists this ribosomal RNA (121 nucleotides) under Pseudopedinella elastica. RNAcentral's name for it is "partial Trypanosomatid mitochondrial large subunit ribosomal RNA". Lineage: Eukaryota; Dictyochophyceae; Pedinellales. The record is from RNAcentral.